GCAGCAGCAGCAGCAGCAAAAGCCGCCAAGUACGGCGCGGCUGGUGUUGGAGGCCUGGUGCCCGGUGUUGGUGUCCCUGGUGUGGUGCCCGGUGUUGGCGGGAUCCCUGGUGUUCCUGGUGUGCCGGGCGUGGUGCCCGGUGUCGGCGGUGUCCCAGGAGUUGGAGUUGGAAUACCAGCGGGAGCGGCAGCAGCA
Molecule: non-coding RNA, 195 nt
Organism: Chelonoidis abingdonii (Abingdon island giant tortoise)
Lineage: Eukaryota; Metazoa; Chordata; Testudines; Testudinidae
Source: RefSeq, a predicted model, not a curated record